Molecule: ribosomal RNA, 403 nt
Filed under: uncultured bacterium
Lineage: Bacteria
Description: bacterial SSU rRNA
Rfam family: Bacterial small subunit ribosomal RNA
Source: RNAcentral
UAAGGGAUAUUGCACAAUGGACGCAAGUCUGAUGCAGCAACGCCGCGUGCCCGAUGAAGGCCUUCGGGUCGUAAAGGGCUUUUCUGGCUGAAGAUUUAGACUGUAAGCCAGGAAUAAGUGUCGGCUAACUACGUGCCAGCAGCCGCGGUAAAACGUAGGACGCGAGCGUUAUCCGGAGUUACUGGGCGUAAAGCGCGGGCAGGCGGUCUGACAAGUCUGAUGUGAAAUCACCCGGCUCAACCGGGCGAGGCCAUUGGAAACUGACAGGCUGGAGGGCAGUAGAGGUAGGCGGAAUUCCGGGUGGAGUGGUGAAAUGCGUAGAGAUCCGGAGGAACACCAGAGGCGAAGGCGGCCUACUGGGCUGCACCUGACGCUGAGCCGCGAAAGCCAGGGGAGCGAACGG